GUCGGAAUUGCGCGGGUUGUAAUCGACGAACGCAUAGCCGCGCGACUGGUCGAUGGUGUGGAACAGCGGGUUCCAGUCGAACAUCACCAGCAUGUAGCUGGGCAGGGUGUUGGCCACGAACAUCUUGCCCGACGCGAUCAUGUUCGCCCGCUG
This is a non-coding RNA of Citreicella sp. 357, 153 nucleotides long. NCBI's taxonomy places the organism in Bacteria, Pseudomonadati, Pseudomonadota, Alphaproteobacteria, Rhodobacterales, Roseobacteraceae. The record is from Rfam.